GACAGAUGGCCAUGUGCUAAGUAUGUCCCUCAUGCCCUGUAGAGAAGGUGGGACCUCUGGUCUGAUCUUUAAGGCUCGUCUCUUGCCCUCUAAGGAAUGGGAUACCAUAAGGCUGGGAUUUAUCUCUAGAGCUGUGAUUUUUAAAAUCCAUUUCCCCACACUUCAGAAUUUUACUGCUUCAAAGAGGCUCAUGAAAUCCUUAAAAAAAAAAUACUUGUUAAGGAGGUUAAGUUUGUUUUAUUUAAUAGGUUAGAAGAAAUUGGGGUAGCACUUGAUACGGCAAGACAACAUCUGGAGGCUUUGGUGAUUAGUGUGACGUGUGAUGUGAGUCAGUGGGUGACCAUGUGUCUUGGUAAUACUGUGACUGGAGGAACAUGGGGUUGAGUUAUGGGGGGAGCAGGGGCUCCUCUCCGGGGCCUGACAUGCUGCUGUUGAGCAUAUUGUAUCUUAUCUUCACCACCUUGUGGCCACCCCAGUGUCACAGAGGGGUGUCUUAACAUCUUCAUUACAUUGAGUUCCCAGGGCCAGUGUCAGGCACCAGGAAGAUCAGAGGACAGGAAGAUGUGGGCUGGAGAGACAGCAAGCGGGCCCAGAGCAGCAGCACUGAGUGGCCAUUGCUGGCUGGAGCUGGGGCUGCCUGGUGUGUUUAGCAGGGCA
This 657-nucleotide long non-coding RNA is filed under the name Mus caroli (Ryukyu mouse). RNAcentral's name for it is "predicted gene 17105 (MGP_CAROLIEiJ_G0034461.1)". Lineage: Eukaryota; Metazoa; Chordata; Mammalia; Rodentia; Muridae. The record is from RNAcentral.